GCCGAAGUGGUGGAACUGGUAGACGCGCAGGCUUCAGGUGCCUGUGAGGGAUUCCUCGUGGGGGUUCGAGUCCCCCCUCCGGCA
RNAcentral lists this transfer RNA (84 nucleotides) under Candidatus Vecturithrix granuli. It matches the Rfam family "tRNA". From Rfam's summary of the family: Transfer RNA (tRNA) molecules are approximately 80 nucleotides in length. The record is from Rfam by way of RNAcentral. Lineage: Bacteria; Candidatus Moduliflexota; Candidatus Vecturitrichia; Candidatus Vecturitrichales; Candidatus Vecturitrichaceae.